Molecule: non-coding RNA, 536 nt
Organism: Pelobates cultripes (western spadefoot toad)
Lineage: Eukaryota; Metazoa; Chordata; Amphibia; Anura; Pelobatidae
Source: the annotation of a GenBank genome assembly
AAUAUGCUGACUGUGACAGACUAAGGUAUUUCUUCUAUAGGAUGUAAGACAAUGCUAAAAUUUCAGGAUGUCUUGCCCAUUCCGAUUUCAGGAUAUUAUUUUCCAGACGUAUGCAAAAAAGCUUAUCUUCCCAUUGUCAGAAUAACAUGUAAUAUAUAAGGAAGUAAUAAAUCGUAUAAUCUGUAUUGUAUUGCAUAUCUCAUGACUAAGGUAAACAAAACUGUAUAAAUGCUAGCUUCACAGUAAUACAGAUUGAGAACUUGUUAAGCACCUUCGUGUCUGUCUGUUAUUUGCUAAGCAAGUCUCUCCCGUCAAUUGAUGUGGUGAACAGAGGAUCGAGAACCGAGGGUUGAGUCCAGGACAGCAUUAACCCUUUCAGCUUGGUGUCUAGAAGUGGGAUAGAAGUUGGAUCAGCAAAAUCAUUGGGUAAGUAGCCUUUUUGUGUCUUAUUUGACGCUGAUUGUCUAUGACCCCUUUGGUUUAGUAAGACUGUAUCCAGUACAUAGGAAAGGUGUAAGGACUCUAGUUAUAUUGAG